Tetranychus urticae (two-spotted spider mite) is the source of this 1284-nucleotide long non-coding RNA. RefSeq lists it as uncharacterized. The record is from RefSeq and is a predicted model, not a curated record. NCBI's taxonomy places the organism in Eukaryota, Metazoa, Arthropoda, Arachnida, Trombidiformes, Tetranychidae.
CGGUGAACAUGGUAACCAACUUGUACAGACUAACACUUUAAUAAGCAUGUUUUAACAAUCUAUAAUUACAUCUAAAUAUACAAUUAUUGGUCAACAAUUGUAAUUGUAUUUCUUUCCAAUCGAUAUGUUGAUCCAAAUUUUUAAUUCGUUUUCUUCUCUUAAAUUAAAAACCAGGCUUUACCUUUGAUAUUCAUUUGUACUUUACAUUAAUGGUGAAAAACUGCGAGACUUGCCACCAAAUGGAACGGAAAAACCUCGGAUUUGGACAUUAUUAUUGGAUAAACUGGACACAAAUUGACAUUUAUUGGCCAAUUCGAACUUAUUGAUGGAUUACGAGUUUUACCAAAGCAUUUACAAUUGUAAUUACUGCGUUUGCUACUGUACUUGUUAUCGCUAUUUAAUACAUGGUUUAUGUUCCUUCUGGUUGAUCUCAAUUUUCAUGUUCACUGGUCAAAUAAUAAUACUGUAAACUAAUGUAAACAUUAUCGCAAUCGGCUGUUGGACAUCGUGUUGAUAUCUUGCACCAAGUUAAUUAGUGGUCUCCAUGUUAUGACCUAACUUUACCUUUUGUUUAUCGGUCAGCUUGGUUACCUUUCAAUUUUGGAUGCAAUUUUUCACAAAUUAUAGUGUUAAUUAGAUUUCUGUUUGACAUUCAUGAUGUUAACCUGCCAAUUGUUGGCCUUUACAGGGUCUAUUGAUUGAAAGAUAGAGCAAUAUUACAUGUGUUUUGAAACAUGAAAAAAGCUAUUCAAGAAUAAUGUUUCGUCAACCGUUAAUCAACACUUUGUUUACUUGUUAAACUAAUGAUCAAACCUGUUGUUAUUGUUCUGCCGCUAUGAGAAACAAAUAUCAUGUAUUCUGGUUUGGUAAAUUAGCGAACAAUUUUGGCUUAAUUAAUAGAAAUCAUCUCAAAUUUUGGAUCCAUUUUCCCAUGUUUAACGCUCUUAAUUAUAUACCGUUUCAUGGCCAAGUCAACAAUCAAGACGACAAACAAAAGUGCCUGUUAAUUGUGGUUUUUGGCUAUUUAAAGUGUUGGAAAUUGAGAUUGGAGUCUCAUACUUGACCAGACAUAAAGUCCAAGCACAUUGAGGGUUAAGAUGGAAACGAUUGGACUUAUUUGCAUGAUGAAAUAUAAUCACAAUAACGAUUAAAGUGAAAUUAAACUUCAACCUGAAUUGAAAAAUCAAGUUUACUCGCAAUCAACUGUGCACAGAGUUUGAUUGAUUGAAACCAUUGACAAUAAACUACCAAUAAAAGUUCCGGUUCAUUGACAAUUAAUGAUAA